UAUUUUCAAAGCCUUGAGACAGUUGGGCAGGCAACUGGGAAAAAUGAGGUAUACUGUACAACUUCUGAUGAAAAAGUACCCAAAUCUAUGCAGGGUGCUUCUAGACCCACCGACAUCAGUAUGCCUCACAGAGCUGAAUUCCUACAGGGCCAAGAUGAGGGUCAUGUAAGGGAACGGUCUCAGCCACACCAGACAGAGGACACUGCUUACCCAGCUGGUGAUGAUUUCAGGGAAGCCAAUAUCAGAAAAGAAGGCAGAGAUGAUUUUGGAAAUAGAGGGCCAGAAUGGGGAAACACUGAAGGGCAUUCUCAAAGUGAUUAUGUCCAUUCCAAGAGGACCUCUGAUGCAGUUCGGGGCACAGAAGGCUCACUUUACACUACCUGUGAGGAAGCCCUUGAAGGAGAAUGGUACUAUCCAGGGAAAAGGGUGAAGCAUAAAGUCAUUGCAUUUGAAAAGCUGCAUCGUGCAGAAAAGGGAGUUUUUGAAAAAAGACGGACCAAGAAAUCAUUUGUUAGCUCCCCGCAGAAGAAACCAGAUGAUCUAGAGUUCUCGUUAAAGCAAAAAGAAUCAGGCUCCAGCGAUCUGAGAGGAAAUGUGCAUCCGGCGGUGGAAAUGUCUUCACACCCAGAAGCAGAUUUAUCUAGCAUCGUGAUGGAUUUGAAGCAGCUUUCUUCUCAGGCUCAUGGGAAACUGGAAAUGGAAGAGAGGGAACAACAGGAAGAAAUGCUUCCUCUUGAUCGAACUGUAGUCUCAGAAAAGGUUGAGUUGGAAGCACCUGUCACGUUUGACCUAAAGCAGUUUCACUCACAGACAGAAAGUGCAAGAAUAACGGUCCAAGACUUGGCCAAUGGCCUACAAGGUGAAGGCUCUUUAACAACUCAACAACCUGCUUCAGAAACAGCUAAUCCUGAAGACAUUGUCUUUGAUCUAAAGCAAAUGUAUUCUCACAUAGAAGAGCCAGGCACGGUGUUCCAGGGCCAAGAAACUGAAAGCAAGGAAGAAAAGCACAACGAAGAGGACAUUUCUAUCUGCCAGAACUUUCAGUACGCACAGGAACAAAACACGGCAAUUUUAAAAACUGACCAUGCACUUAAGCCUUUCUCUGAAGCAGUCGAUGAAUCAUGGGUUUUAUUUCAGACUUCAUCUGCUGACACAGGAGAAAGUCAUGUUUCUGAGAAGAAUGGUUCUGUAGAAAACGGAGAAAGGAGUUUCAUCUCACAGUUGAAAAGGGCAGCCAGUGAGGGAGAGCUUUUGGGGGAUCAUGAAACGGAAGAGGAA
This 1278-nucleotide long non-coding RNA is filed under the name Meriones unguiculatus (Mongolian gerbil). RNAcentral's name for it is "lncRNA (ENSMUGG00000008421.1)". The record is from RNAcentral. Lineage: Eukaryota; Metazoa; Chordata; Mammalia; Rodentia; Muridae.